This 260-nucleotide unclassified non-coding RNA is filed under the name Hevea brasiliensis (rubber tree). Lineage: Eukaryota; Viridiplantae; Streptophyta; Magnoliopsida; Malpighiales; Euphorbiaceae. The record is from RNAcentral.
GGGUUUUCAGGUCUUUCUUAUCAAUCUCUAAUCAUAUCUUUAUCUCACUUUUGAUCUUCUUUACUCUCUUUAGAAUGGCACAAGCAGGGCAAAGUUCAGCUCCUUCUUCUUCAGUUGGUAGGGAUUCUGGAGCUACUGCCUCUCCUUCUUUUUAUUCUUCCGUCAAUGGAGAAUCUUCUGGCGCUGCGUCAUCGUCUUAUUCUGGUGCUCGCGAAGAAGUGCACCAAUUUGGAGACUUAGAGUCGGAGCAGCAACACAUU